UACACCAAAUCAGAUGCUUUGAUUAUGCAAUUGGUUGUGUUACCAAUGAAAGAAAAUGAAGGAGGAAAAAAAUGAGAAAGGGAAGGAGGAAAAGACAACAGUGAAAGGCCUGGCUUCAACCUAGAUAGUUUGUUUCUUUUGUUUCUUAUAAUGAUUAUUUGUCAUUUAGCAUUUCUUGGUUAUUCCCUUCUUCAAUUUUUUGCAAUAUUCAAAUAGUGAAGAAUUAUCAAAGCUUGUCUGUAGAAACUUGAAAUCACCAAGGAUGGAUAAAUAUGAAGAUGAAUAAAAAAGGAAAUUACUGGGAAGGAAAUGAAACAAAAAAAGGAUGAAAAAUCUAAAGAUGCUAUUUCUUAUUCUCAUCUUAAUAGCAGGAUACAGCUGAAUAAUAACAUUAUCUAUUGGAGGUCAGUGAGAUGGAGGGAUGGAAAUCCAUUUUGAAAACUUUAAUGUGUAGAAAGUCAGUACAUCAUUUUCACAAGCGAUAUCCUAAACAGAAAGCUUUUUUAGCACAAUCAUAUAAAGAAAACUGCAUUUUUAUAGUAGCUAAAAGAUGCAAACUUAUUGCAAAAAUAAAACUUCCAUUUUCUUUUAUUACCAUUAA
Ictidomys tridecemlineatus (thirteen-lined ground squirrel) is the source of this 601-nucleotide non-coding RNA. Lineage: Eukaryota; Metazoa; Chordata; Mammalia; Rodentia; Sciuridae. The record is from RefSeq and is a predicted model, not a curated record.